CCGUUUUAUGACAUUUGUUGUACAGUUUUUAUUCCUGUCCAUGAUGCCCGGGGCUAUUUGGAUCCAUAUAGUUUGCCCAAAGAAUGGCCCAUGCACUGCUAGAAAAUAGUGGGUCUUCAAGUGUGACCAUUAACCAUUCGUACCAUUCGUAGUCCAUACUAUGAUCCUAUGUGGAUCCUUUUACAUUUCAACUGAAGUAAAUGGAUUUUCAAACAGCUCACCAUUACUUUUAUGUAGUUAAACAAUGUGUAAUUAUUUGAGAAAUAUUCAAUUAUAUAUUUUACAUACAUUUGGGUUUAUACACAAUGUUUCUUUCUGUGCACUGACCACAUAUAGCGCCUGUACGAUCUAAAGUGUCUUUCCUGUAACUUUUGCCAUUACUUUCCGCUUUGAUUCAUGAUGCCAACAUGUAGGAUGAGAGUUACAUGAGGCACCCGAGACCCUAUUUCCGCACCCCUGCCCCUCGUAGCCUCUUUUCGAACCGUCUGGAACCGGGCAGGGACUUAAUCAGUUAAGCAAAGCUAACUGAGAUGGCAAGCUAACUUGGCCCUUUAGUGUGUGUGUCGUCGCAGUCUGGGUUAAAAUUAAUUUCGAAACCAUUGGGCGCUCCCUUUGUGUGCGGAUUGUUUGCUUUUUGGGCCUGGCCAAAGGUAGCGAAAGCAUUGGUUAAGUUCUUGGCUUGUUUGCCAGGCUUAUUUGCCAAAUAAUCUGUUUGUUUGGCCAUGCAAUAAGUAGUUCUGGCCCCGGCGCUAGUUGACAUAGGCAGGUAGGACUGUGUCUUGCCAUCGAGCCUAAACACGAAGCGCUGAAGGUGAAUGCAAAUGAAGUGGUAAUUGUUUUAGCCGCAAUCUUUGCAAUGCAGGAUGGACGAUGCUUUAUAUAAAUAUAUUAUAAAAGAAUACCUAUCGUGAACAUAGUGUCCUAUGCCAACGUAUAGUGCGAUCCGUGUCCAUAGUAUGUUUACUGAAGCAGUUGCACCUCUCGUCAUCUAUUAUUUGGACUUUUACUCCUCCUUCAUUUAUCGGUAUGGAGCCCUGCUUCAUUUGUCCGUCUUCAUUGCCGACUAUCAAUGGCAUCCGAUUGGUUCGACACCUGGCAAUUGGCCUCCAGUGAUGGCUGUGUCUCCUGUUGACUUUAUCCGGCGACAUCUAAUCGGAUUCAUUUUUGCCAUUUCAGCCAUUUCAGCUGCGUUUCAAUUUGCAUUUGCCGCCGACCGAGUCCUGGGGCACUCAUGUCCCUAUCUGCUCGAGUUCGAGUUCGCCGGAUCGCAGGAUAGUGCAUAUUGAAGUCAUCACAGUUGGCGACACUCCCAGGCAAUUUUCUGCGCCAACUUGACCAUAUCCAGCUGUGUGUAUGCAGAUGACACUGUGUCACCAGAGUUCCCGGAUUCUUGCAGGCCACCCUUCUCCUUUUUUUCCCGCUUUUCUCCCUUUUUUUGUGUGCUUUGUUUUUGUUCCAGUGCCAAGUUUUCCGGGGAAGUGUUCUCCUCAUAGCUGCGCUCAUUUUCAAUGUAGAUUUUUUCUCUGGUCCGCCACACGCUGUGGUCUUAUGGACUUCUCGAUUUUUAUGUUUGGCCCCAUGCGACUUUGUUGCCUUGUUCCCCAUACCAUCUCCCAUCUCCUUCUCCGUUUCCCCCUUGGCUCUCCCUUUUGCACGCACUGGGUACAAUUGGUGACCAUUUCCCAUUGUUCCCUGCGCCGCUUUUUCGCAAAUUUUCACUUACACAUACGAAUUUUGCAGUUUUUAACUAUUUUUAUUUCGUUUCCAAGCCCGGCUAUUUGCCAAAAACAUUUUUUAUCUUCGUUUAGCUAUAUUUGUCUCUACACCAUAUUUUUCGCUCUCUCUCUGCUUGCUCCCUGUUCUUUUUUAUUGGGUUUUAUGUCUCCUAGUGUACAUUUUUUAUAUUUCGGCGACUUCUUUCAUGAAUUUUCUUAAAACUAUUUAAAAUAAUUGUUCCGCCCUUGCCUGGUUUUCCAACGGUACCUUUUUUCGGAGUCUGAAUUUCGCUAACAAAAAAGUUAAAGUGGUUUUAAGUACAUAUUAUUUUUAGUAAAUGACUAUAACUACUUUUUAUGGGUAUUGCUAAAAACUACUAUUCGUUUUCGGUUAGUGUAGCCGAAAUACUGCUGGAAUUGGUUUCCUGGAUUUGAAAUUUUGCCUGUCUCUUGACUUGUUGGCUCUUUGGUGAGAGUAAAGUGCGUACCAUGUGGCAUGCAUCAUUUUUGCCAACUACACUCAGUCAGUCGACUGUCGCCAUUGUCCAUCGUCCAUAUCCCUGGGCAAUGCACAUCCUCGAAUCCUCAGCCUCGUCCGCAUCCAUGUCCAUUUCGAUGCUCCCAUGUCCAGUGUCAAUUUUUACCAUUUCCCGUACCAUUUCGCCUCUUGCCUGCCAGUUGAGCGGAUUUCUUUCCCCGUUUUGCUCACUCAUGUUUUUUAUUUCGUUUUUAAUUUUUUAUUUUUGGGCUAUGGCCAGUGCAGGAUCAGCCGCCUGUUGUCAUAAUUUUAGCACUCACUGUGCGUUCUAUUUUUUUUUAUAUUUUUUCUUAACUGGAAAUGCGUUUUCAUCCCCUUCCAACGAUUUUAAUGUCAUUUGCUCUGGCUGAUUUUUUGCGCUGCCUCUGUUGAAUUUGUUUAUUUUUCAUGGUGUAAUUUAUUUGAGACUCGUUGCCGCUGCCACUGUUUGUUGGUAGCUGGGUAGUUGGGUAGUUGGUAGCGGCAUCCCAUUGGUUUAUGGCUUGUAAGUUGUUUAUUAUUAAUGUUUGGCUUAUGCUGGCAGUUGUCGGGCCUCCACUGGGCUUGCUUUUUGGUUGCAUUUGGUUCAGUUCAGUUCAGCUCAGCUCCGCUCAGUUCGGCUCGGUUUGGUUUGGUUUGGUUGCACUUUACGGGCAUGAGCUCAUAAUGAAGUCAUAGUUAUCUGCCCCGCCCCCCGCAUUUUUCCAUAUCUGUGGGCCAUAAAAUAUACGCGUCGUAUGCGUCAUAUUGCGACAAUGCUCGGUAGCCUUCCGUCUCCGUAUCCGCCUGUGUUCCCGUUUCCGUUCCCCUCCUCUUCAUUUUGAGCUUCCGAAAUUUUCCCGCUCCCAUUUUCCAGCCGCACUGCAUGCUCUUGUGCAUUAGCAGCACUUAUGUAUUAUUCGCAUUAGUCAUGCAGGGUGUGCUUUAUGUGACUAUACGAAUGAUAUGUACAUUCGUACAUAAUAUACGAAGCUAAAAAUGGAGCAGGCCUUGGGUUUUUAUUUCAGUUAUCACAAUAGUAAUUUUUACCUAAUUGUGCUUGAAUUACUAUUUGUUUAUAUAUCCCAUCCACUCAAUUCUAAGACAAUGUAUUUUGUAGUAUUUCAAUCAGAAGUAACGGAAUAAAAGCACUUCUGAUGUUAGUUUUGUUCUGCACGAUAAUGACCGAAGUGUGCUAUGGACUUGACAAAAUUAUGGCCGACGAACCGAGACCUGGCAGUAUCACGAUGGAAAACUUUCUGUUGGAAAUAUUCAAAAGCCGAUCGGACCUCGAAAAGUUUAUAAACGAUAUAUGGUCUUCUAAUGGUUACGAAGAGCUAAAUAGCACAAAACUUUACAUGCAUUAAUCUAAUGGCAACUAACAUCGAUACGACCCGAUACAUGGUACAUUAAUUGUUACUAAAAGCGUUCACUCCAUUUCAUUAAAAUGUUAAUGUCUUUUUUAACUCUACAAUAAAAUGUGUCACUUUAAUAAUCAA
Long non-coding RNA from Drosophila yakuba, 3710 nucleotides. RefSeq lists it as uncharacterized. The record is from RefSeq and is a predicted model, not a curated record. The transcript is spliced from 2 exons. NCBI's taxonomy places the organism in Eukaryota, Metazoa, Arthropoda, Insecta, Diptera, Drosophilidae.